GAUGAACGCUGGCGGCGUGCCUAAUACAUGCAAGUCGAGCGAACAGACGAGGAGCUUGCUCCUCUGACGUUAGCGGCGGACGGGUGAGUAAAACGUGGAUAACCUACCUAUAAGACUGGGAUAAAUUCGGGAAACCGGAGCUAAUACCGGAUAAUAUAUUGAACCGCAUGGUUCAAUAGUGAAAGACGGUUUUGCUGUCACUUAUAGAUGGAUCAGCGCCGCAUUAGCUAGUUGGUAAGGUAACGGCUUACCAAGGCGACGAUGCGUAGCCGACCUGAGAGGGUGAUCGGCCACACUGGAACUGAGACACGGUCCACACUCCUACGGGAGGCAGAAGUAGGGAAUCUUCCGCAAUGGGCGAAAGCUUGACGGAGCAACGCCGCGUGAGUGAUGAAGGUCUUCGGAUCGUAAAACUCUGUUAUUAGGGAAGAACAAAUGUGUAAGUAACUAUGCACGUCUUGACGGUACCUAAUCAGAAAGCCACGGCUAACUACGUG
Molecule: ribosomal RNA, 497 nt
Filed under: uncultured bacterium
Lineage: Bacteria
Description: partial 16S ribosomal RNA
Rfam family: Bacterial small subunit ribosomal RNA
Source: RNAcentral